Molecule: unclassified non-coding RNA, 391 nt
Filed under: soil metagenome
Description: partial contains 5.8S ribosomal RNA, internal transcribed spacer 2, and large subunit ribosomal RNA
Rfam family: 5.8S ribosomal RNA (bases 1-122)
Source: RNAcentral
GAUGAAGAACGUAGUGAAAUGCGAUACUUGGUGUGAAUUGCAGAAUCCCGUGAACCAUCGAGUCUUUGAACGCAAGUUGCGCCCGAAGCCACUAGGCCGAGGGCACGCCUGCCUGGGCGUCACACGCCGUUGCCCCCCCAUCUACUCCUUCGGGAUUGCGGGGGGGCGGAUGAUGGCCUCCCGUGCGCCUAGCCGCGCGGUUGGCAUAAAUACCAAGUCCUCGGCGACGCUCGCCACGACAAUCGGUGGUUGCGAAACCUCGGUUGCCCGUCGUGUGCGUUCGUCGCGCAUCGAGGGCUCGAAAAAAUGCUCGGCUCCGGCUGGGCUUUCAACGCGACCCCAGGUCAGGCGGGGUUACCCGCUGAAUUUAAGCAUAUCAAUAAGCGGAGGA